CGAGCAGUAGCUGAGUGGUAGAGCUCCAGCUUCGCAUGCGGGAAGAACGGGGUUCGAUUCCUGGCUGCUUAC
This 72-nucleotide transfer RNA is filed under the name Toxocara canis (dog roundworm). It matches the Rfam family "tRNA". From Rfam's summary of the family: Transfer RNA (tRNA) molecules are approximately 80 nucleotides in length. Their secondary structure includes four short double-helical elements and three loops (D, anti-codon, and T loops). The record is from Rfam by way of RNAcentral. Lineage: Eukaryota; Metazoa; Nematoda; Chromadorea; Rhabditida; Toxocaridae.